UGACCGGCAAAACCGAGACGGUGAGUACUAACCUCCGCCUCGUGGUGGUUCCUUCCUUCGGGUUGGUUCCGCCGCGUGGUGUUGGGACCGUAGCCGCAGUAGGUCAGCGCAGGGGUGACACGGAAUGGGAGCCGGCCGCGGAGGUGGUUUUCCGUGGUCAAGCACGCAGCCAGUCAUGUAGGCAAAUCCGCAUGGCGCGCAUGGCGAGGUGUGAUGAUGGGAGCCGUUAUGACUCGAUAUCCGGUUGUCCAGGCCGUCGAGAAAAGCCUCGGCGUGAGGGCCAUGGCCGCCCGUACCCCAAACCGACACUGGUGGUCAGGUAGAGAAUACCAAGGCGAUCGAGCGAAUCCUGGUCAAGGAACUCGGCAAAUCACUCCCGUGCCUUCGGUAUAAGGGAGACCCGCUGGGGUGAACCGGCUAGCCCGGGGAGCUUUGGUGGGUGGCACAGACCAGGGGGUAGCGACUGUUUACCAAAAACACAGGUGCAUGCGAAGGCGAAAGCCGCUGUAUAUGCACUGACGCCUGCCCGGUGCCGGAAGGUUAAGAGGAUCCGUCAAUCCCUUCGGGAUGAAGCGGUGAAUUCAAGCCCCGGUAAACGGCGGUGGUAACAAUAACCAUCCUAAGGUAGCGAAAUUCCUUGUCGGGUAAGUUCCGACCUGCACGAAUGGCGUAACGACUUCCCCACUGUCUCGACCAGGAGCUCGGCGAAAUUGCAGUACGAGUAAAGAUGCUCGUUAAGCGCAGAAGGACGAAAAGACCCCGGGACCUUUACUAUACCUUGGUAUUGGCGUUAGGCGCGGAUUGUGUAGCAUAGGCGGGAGGCUUCGAAGCGUGGGCGCCAGCUCAUGUGGAGCCGCAAGGUGAAAUACCGCUCUGUUCUCGUUUGACGUCUAACCUCGACAAGUCAUCCUUGUCAGGGACAGUGCCUGGCGGGUAGUUCAACUGGGGCGGUUGCCUCCCAAAGAGUAACGGAGGCGCUCAAAGGUCCGCUCAGCCCGGUUGGCAAUCGGGUGUCGAGUGUAAUCGCACAAGCGGGCUUGACUGCGAGGACGACGGUCCGAGCAGGGACGAAAGUCGGAGAUAGUGAUCCGGUGCCGGCGCACGGGCGCGGCAUCGCUCAACGGAUAAAAGGUACCCCGGGGAUAACAGGCUGAUCAUUCCCAAGAGUCCAUAUCGACGGGAUGGUUUGGCACCUCGAUGUCGGCUCGUCGCAUCCUGGGGCUGGAGCAGGUCCCAAGGGUUCGGCUGUUCGCCGAUUAAAGCGGCACGCGAGCUGGGUUCAGAACGUCGUGAGACAGUUUGGUCUCUAUCCUCUGCGCUCGUUGGAAUCCUGAGGAGGCCUGCCCAUAGUACGAGAGGACCUGGGUGGACGAACCUCUGGUAUGCCGGUUGUCGCGCCAGCGGCACGGCCGGUUGGCUACGUUCGGGAGGGAUAACCGCUGAAAGCAUCUAAGCGGGAAGCCUGCUCCAAGAUUAGGAUUCCAUGGAUCUUCGAGAUCCUGUAGCCCGCAUGUUGAACACGUGUUUGAUAGGCCGGAGGUGGAAGUCCCGUGAGGGGUGGAGCCGACCGGUACUAACGGGCGACGGC
Molecule: ribosomal RNA, 1588 nt
Filed under: metagenome
Description: bacterial LSU rRNA
Rfam family: Bacterial large subunit ribosomal RNA
Source: RNAcentral